Molecule: small nucleolar RNA, 155 nt
Filed under: Phaeosphaeriaceae sp. SRC1lsM3a
Lineage: Eukaryota; Fungi; Ascomycota; Dothideomycetes; Pleosporales; Phaeosphaeriaceae
Description: Stagonospora sp. SRC1lsM3a Small nucleolar RNA snR80
Rfam family: Small nucleolar RNA snR80
Source: Rfam by way of RNAcentral
UCCACUUCACCAACACUCUGGCCCUUACCUCCUGUCUUCGGACAGUGACCAUGGUAUAGGCCUAUUUUGGUGUGAAGAAGAUUGACGACCUCCUACUCACCGCGGUAGUCUUGCCUCUGGUUUGGCUUCAGCGGUCCAUCUUUUACGGUCUACAC